UAUAACUAGAGAUCAGUGACACAGACUUUUUUGCAACGCCAUCUGGUGACUCUGAGAAAAACUAAUCGAUAAUAAUCGGUAUGUUACACCGGUUACGCGGCUCGAAUCUUCGACUGCGGGGACUGGUCGGAGGUGGUUGAGUACUUGUAAGAGUUCUAUUUGUGCACGGUUGAACGUUGUUUCGUGUAUGCAUCGUUAUUAGUUUGUUAUUUUAAUAUGUCAAACAAUGCCACGUUCCGUUGUGAACAAUUCUGAUGAAGAUCACAAAGCCAAAAACGCUUCCAAGCGCCCUAGAACAUGCGUAGCAGUGGCAGCAUUUGUGACAGAUUCUGCAACGCUCGGACGCAGGUAGUUUGAUCCGGCAUGAUUUCGUUAAUCCUUCUGGCUCAUUGCAAGCAAGUGUUGAAAAAGCGGCAACAACAUUAAUAAGAAGAACUACUCGUAGUCCUGCGAACGCUGCUCCAGAACCAACAAGACCCUUGAGAUUAUGCAGAAAGUUAGGUUUCUCAAGCAUAGGUAAAAAUUCAAAACUAGAAUCGGCACUUGAAAGGUCAAGAAAUAGAAGAUGCUUCACUAGGCACAACCUACAACAUGAUACCUCGCCUGAUUCACGGAAAGUCACAGUUAGAACUAGAUUCAAUUUGUUGUUACAAUGACCUCGAUCGACAAACAAUGUGACACGUUCUUACUUAACUAUGUAUAGCAAACUCAAUUAAGGCAAAUAGUAAGAAGGCUAUAAAGUGCAAAAGCGUUAAAUGGACAUGAUACAUCUUUGCCAAAUAUGCAUCUUCGAAGCGACGGCUAUCACAAGUUUCAGUUAUUCCGUCUGAACUACCUGUAAUUCUUCAUUAAGAGACAGAAGUUGAGAGCAAUUCGAGUAAUUUUUUCUUUUUACCUGUAAUUUAUUAUGAUCGCAAUAUUGGUGGGCCUGUUUAUUGUAUUCCUGUUCACGUUUGUUUCAUUACAAAUUAGCUUUCUUGAUUUCAUUGAUAAACUAUUCUGCCAGAAUUUCUUUAAACUAUCAAAAAGGAAUAAUACAAUGCAGAAUACUUAUUAAAUAUUUUAAUUACAGCUGAUGAUGUGAGUCUGGGUAAAACAUUAACUAUGAUUUCCUUAAUUGCAUGAACUUUACAGAAUGUAGGAAUAGCUGAUGAUACUAAAGCUGAUGAUAUGCAGCUACAAGGUAAAAGGACUAUGUCUAAUUAAUUAAUAUAUUCGAAGACCACUGAAAUCUUGUUAUUAAUUUCGCUAUAAUUCAUUGAUCUGUUUGUUCUUGUGCAGAACCUAAUGGUGGUAGUUUAGUAGUAGGGCUACCUUUACUUGGUCCCGAUUGUAAGAUCAGAUAGAAAAAUACAUUAAAAAAUAUGUACUAUCCAUGAGAGGUUAUCAUGGACGAAUAUAUCAACCGUACAUGUGACCAGGAACAAUGUGGUAAUCACAGGUUAUGCUUUGAUAAAAAUGCGAUUAUAAAAAUGAAUCUGCCAUCACCCUUAGUAAAUUAAGCAUCAUUCCAACAAAAUUUUUUCAAUAAGGUCGAAAUUUUUAUACGAUAUUUAUUUUUUGAGGGUAGUAGUGAAAGCAGAAAAUUACCUGCAGACCAUGUUACUGUGAUUUUUAUUCCUAUUUAUAGGUCAUACACGUUAUUUUUUUGCAUCGAAUAUAGCUCAAGUGGAAUAGAAUUAUACUAAAUGAUGGCCACAAAAUUUGCAAUCAUGAAAGUCGAAAAUCAAGAUCAGCUUGCCAGCUCCACGCACAUAACAGAUGGGUUCUAGCUUCUACAGCUAGACAAAAUAGGAAGCUAGAUCUCCAUUCACUAUUAAAGUAUCUUUAAGUAACUCAAACAAGUACCUAAAGAAAUUCAGGUUUCUGAAUUCUUCAAAUAACUCGAUUCUAAAAUUUUUAUUUUGAAAAAUUAGCAAUAAAAGUAUCAACUGUGAAGAAUUGGUGUUUUAUUCAUAUAUUAUUAACGGAGGUUUUUUUGUUUAUAUUUCAGCUGGUGUUCCAUAACUCAAACAUUGAUCUCCAAAUCUCACCGAUGAAUACAAAUGUCUUGUAAAUCCCACCCGCGCAAGCACACUCAAUCCCUUCAAACCGCGUCGCCACAAAGCUCUGGCAACGGCGGUAAUUGGACAGGUAUUUACUGAAGAUAACCUUGCAGAGCUUCAAAGAUCCUUGAACUCUCGUCGGCAUUCAGAUAAGGUAGCUCAAGAUUCGAAGGUUCUGAAUGUUUCCUUGAAGCUGCAUCAACAGCAAACGCUCGCGUCGCGUCUUUGGAAAGAGAAGCAAACAUGCCGUGGUGGAAUUCUAGGUAAGUAUUGAUUUCACGAGUUGCCAAUUUUCAUAUUGAAUUAUCAACAAAAGCUUGACUCCUUAAAACAUUAAGUAAAAUGGUAAAAAAGGUUUUCCAAAUGAUUUAUGUGCGCCUUGAGAUUUGAAGAUUUAACUGACCACGAAUGAUCUAAACGCAAUAUUUGCGAUUAUUGGUAAUAAAUGUGGAAACAAAGUUCCAGGACGAUUGCUCAUACUUAUGCGUUCGGACAAAGGUUCGGGCAUCACGCUUUCCGAGAUGCAAUUCGUGCAUAUGAUUUUUCUUAGCUUUCUGAUGUAAAAACUGUUCAAAAAGCAUUUUGUCGUAGACUAGCUGCUCUUGAGGGUCCAGUUCAAUGCAAAUUUCUCGAAGAAUUUUAUCUGGCAAUGGAGCAUGCCAUCGGUAUUCUGUGAUUCGAGUUUUGUUUUCCUCAGUAGCACAAUUUGUAUGACAGUCCCCAGUGGGUCCUGUCCAGAAGUGUCAUUGUCCGCAAUCCACCGCUCCCAGAACGGUAGAUCAUUGAAUAGGGAAAAUUUCAGAUACUUUAGUGGAGAAUAGAAAUCUAAUUUCCUAUUUUGUACUGAUGUAGCAGUUAAGACCUAUCUGUAGUUUGCGAGAAGUUGGCAAGUCAGAUCUUGAUUUUCGACUUAUAAAAUUGUAAAUUAUGUGGCCAUCAUUCGGUAUAACUUUAUUUCACUUGAUCUAUAUCCACUGUAAAAAAGUAACUGGCAUGGCGUACAACUAUGAAUAAAAAUCACCCUUGCGUGCUUUGCAGGUAUUUUUGGGUUUUCAUUCCUACUCUCAUAAAAUGAAUAUCGUAUAAAAAUAUCAAAUUUUGUUGGAAUGAUGCAUACUUUAUCAAGGGUGGUGGCGAAUUCAUUUUUGUAAUCUGUUUUUACCAAACCAUAACUUGUGAUUACCGUAUUGUUCUUGGUCAAGCUCGGUUGUUCGGUUGAUAAUAUUUGCCCAUGGCAAACUGUCAUAGAUAGCACAUAUUUUGUAAUGUGUUUUUCCAUCUGAUUUUUCCAUCAGGAAACAAGCCAAGGUAGUCAUACCAUUAAAAUAUUACCAUUAAGUUCUGCACAGGAUCAAUCAGAUAUUAUUUAAUCAUAGCGAAAUUAAUAAAAAGAUUCCAGUGGGCUUCAAAAAAUAUUAUUUAGUUAAAAUUGGUCAUUUUACCUUGUAGUUGCAUAUCAUCAUCAUCUUCAGUAUCAUUAUCUAUGUCUACAAUCUGUAAAAUUUAUGUAAUAAGAGGAAUCGUCAUUAACGGUUAGCCUAAACCCAUAUCAUCAGCUGAAAUUAAAAUAUUUAACAAGUAUUCUGCAUUGUAUUAUUCCUUUUUGAUAGUUUAAAGAAAUCCUGGCAAAGUUGAAAUCUUCAAAUCUCAAGGCUCACAUACAUCAUUUGGAAAACUUUAUUCAUCAUGUUAGUUAAUAUUUUAAGGAGUAACGUUUUCUUCGAUAAUUUAAUGUAAGUAUGGGCAACUCGUUAAAUCAAUAUUUACCUAGGUGUCCGCCUCUCGGUUUUUGCUGCUCCCUCCAAAGAAGCCAGGAAAGUGUUUUUAUUUUGGUGCGGUUAUAGGCAAACUUCUAGAGCAGUUGGAUCUGCAGCUACUUCACUCGCAUUUAGAGAAUUACAUAACGAUUGUUGCAAAUCUCUAAUAUUGUCUGUCGUGAAAGCUUUUUUUUUCUGCACUUGUUAGAGCUUUUUGGCAAUGCUUUUCGACAGCGAGCGGCAGGAGCGAAAAUUUGUGGGGAUUGGGUCCGCUUGUUGUUUUUUCUCUAAGAGAUGCGAAGGAUGCGGAAAUGUUUUCUAGAUAAUCUUUCAUUUGACAGUGACGGUAGUGUACAAUCUGUGCUUCAUUCGUAUUAACGUUUGAGGUCACCACCAUCCGAAACAUCAAUAAAAAAACAUCCGUCAACAAUAAAUAAAUAAAACACCAAUUCUUCACAGUUCAUACUUUUACAGCUAAUUAUUCAAAACAGAAAUUUUAGAAUUGAGUCAUUUGAAGAAAUCAGAAAAACUAAUUUAUUUAUAUAUACUUGUUUGAAUUACUAAUAAUAUAAACCUUCGACCUUAUCUUUUUUUCAACAAGAGACAGAGCAGUGUUAACAUUCUCCGAAGUAGAAUUGAUUGUUAAACAGCUGCUGGAACUCAAUUAAGUAACUUUUUUUUAAAAAAAGUGGAUUCUCGUCGCGAAUCGCAUUUCUCGAUUUGAAUAAAUUCUAAUCGAGGAAAAUUCAAAGCAUUCGUGAACAAACGAUCUGUCCUUAAAAAGUCGCCGAUGCGAAGCAUUGGUCCUAAUAAAAAAAAAAUAUAUAUUUUAUUAAUGCCAUUGUAACGAUGCCACAUUUAUACGAUUAUGUGAAAAUACAAAUUGAAGUUCUAUUUCUACAAUCUAUAACGUUAAUGCGACUAUAGAAUUCACGGCACGUAAUGUUAAAAGGAAUAUUGAGCUUUCAACCUGUACUAAAGAAUUUGAACGUGUUCUUAAAAAAUCACACAAACUCAGCAGAAACUUUACAAAAAAUCUUCAAAGCAUUCUAAUAAUACUGUUCUAAAAGAAAAAUAUAGAACAUUCUGAAAUAAAUUCAAAGCUAUAAUAACUACAGCUACGAAUACUUUUGAGGAAGGCAAAGUUAAAUCUUUUCAAAAUGUUAUCAAGAAAAUCUGGGAAUGUGUGAAUAAUAAACUAUAAUAGGCAAAAGUGAAAAAGACAAGGUGAAUAUUAUUGACAAAAUCUCUGAUACUAUCGGAGAUACUACUGUGGAUAAAAAUGUGUUUGUUGAUAUUUUUAAUGAAUAUUUUUUAAUCGUGUACUCGUCAAUGUAUUAUUUUCUCUUAUUAGUAUUAUUGAACCUCUGCAGAAUACGUGUAUAUUGUUACGUGCAUUGUGACGCGGUAUUUUACACUUCGUACUCCACUGUAGCCAAUAUUCCAAAGAAACGCCUAGCUAAUUUUAAGUGAGGUUUAUUUAUUAAGCUAAUAUUUAUCUAUUUUCUAAUUUUGUAUCCCACUAUGAGAACUAUCCACAAGAACAUCUCUUCGAAGAAUCGUAUAUCAUAUCGCGGAGGUCACGGACCUGGUCAACAACUUCAUACCGGCAGUCACAAAGGGCAGAAUACCGCCAACCCGACUCCCGAUGGAUGCCUACCGAAAUUGUCGACAGGGUCAUACCAUUGCAUGCGUAGUGCAGGACGCAGAUCUUAAAUUGUUUAGACUUCGGCCAGGAACCCAACCACCGAAAUCGAAAGUCGCUAUCGCCACUCGGAUGCGCGUCGCAAUUGGUGGACCACGUCAGCCUGGCGGACUUUGUCUGAAUAUCCGCGAUAUGCAACGAGGAUCAUUCUCUUCAGUUAUCAUCGUUUUAUCUACAAGGUCUUCACAUGCAUCGGAGUCGCAAUACCGUGAGGGGUGAACCCCCUCCCCCUCACACAUAUCGCUCCAUGGAUCGAUAUUUCAAUAUAUUAGUACGAAUGUGGAAAAAACGAGCGAAGGUCGACUUUGCCGCCCGCUUUACCCGUUGACCCGGCUCACGUGACUUGCUGACCCAAUUACCCUAAUGCAAGGAACAUCGCGAAUCACUUAUCAACAGCACGCCGAAAAUCGACCGGGAUUGUCAGGAUCAUCGUUCGAUUCAGUACACUAAACGUUCAGUCCACCUAUAAGUCUGCAGACGUGCUUCCAUUCAGUAAUUCUACACUAAUUUUUCGCUAUUGGUACUUUUUUUCUUCCAUCAGUUCAGUUCUUUCUCUCCUCUUCUGUUCUCUUCUGUUUCAUCUGUUAUCUCAUUCCUGUUUUUACAUCUCCUCUACAGUUUCGUAAGUGAGAUUUUUCUUUUUGUCUACUUCGUAAAGCCACGAAGUUACUUGUGUUACAUGUUUUCCUUGCAGUUUGCUCCCGUAAGCAUGUGCCGCGUGUGCGAUCUUAUAUCACUGCGUGGUAUAUAACACGUCGUUUUUUGACUUUGGAGUAUUGCGCCGUACCAAACAACACCUUUCUUCCUAUUUUUUCUGACGUCUAUUCUCUGAAUAUUUCUUUGAUCAUCUUAUUUCUGUAACUGUUUGCUUUGAUUCUUUUAUCACCUGACUGAGUUGUAUUUCUUGCUUUCUGUAUCAUUUCUAAUAUCUUCUGCUUUGAUGAUACUAUUCUGUCGCUAUAUUGUAUUGCUUUCGCUUGGAUUGUCAACAUUUAUUCUAAGGAUCUUAGAUUGUGCAUUGCAUGCUAGCCUAUCUUUAACUGAUUAUUGUAAACCUUGCUGAUUGUUGCUCCGAAUGAUAGUAUCGAGAACACACACCUCUGUCUCUCGCUCGUCACACGCUACCUGUCUCGUUAAUUUGUUAUAUCUCACUUUUACUUUUUUCCCUGGCUGUAUUUGAAUUUCUUGAGUUGUCCAACUGCAUCUAAACUUCUCCAAUUGUUUGACUGUAAUUAAUCUUCUGCAUUUUGUUAAUAUACUGGAUACUGUUACCGAUUUACCUAUUUUCUUGUACUUUAUCCAUUGGAUACGACCCCUCCCAUGUACCGUUAUCUUUUCUAAACUGAGUUAGUUCUGCAAAACUGUCGUAGAACCUGAUCUUGCCUUUUCUCUGCUUUUCUUUUCCCUAAUUAUCUAACCGGGAUUCCCGCCCUCGAAAUUAUCUUAAAUAUCGUACCUAGGAAAUUCUGCGUCACAGUAUAUAUUUACUUAAUAACCGGAUUAAUGCAUAAUAAUAAUAAUAAAAUAGUAAGACGAUACUGUGAUACUCAGAUUGAGUAAAAUAUAUUUUCCGCGUUUACGUUUGAAAAGAAAGAAGGAAAUAUAUAUAUAUAUAUAUAUAUAGAUACGUGAUCAUCUUUUACGUGAAUUUUGAUUUUUUCUGAAUAUCUGUAAACUUUUAACGCAUACGUACCUACGUUACGUAUCUAGAUUUUGGAGAAAAUGAAGAAGCGUUAGAUUCAAUGGGAAUAUGGGCUCGAACUAGGUAAAGAAUGGAAACUCAAAAGCACUGGCAACGAUUAUGGAUACGUCUAUUGUAGUCUAUUUGAUGUAGAAAUUAUAAAGUAAGAGACGCACGCGCAGACAAAAAUUCGUCGUAAUAAAUAUAUAGAAUAAUAUUAUGAUCAAAUAGUCAUGAAGAAAUUAUGCAGUUACGUAUAGGUAUGUAUAACUUACGUGUCAUCGAAUUUAGUCACACGAUGAGGACAUUUAAUUAAAACUGGCUACACAGGUAACAAGGUAAACUGCAAUUAGCAGCUGCAGGUGAAUUAAUCGCCAAUCGUGUAUCGUUUACACUGA
This 7586-nucleotide long non-coding RNA is filed under the name Neodiprion pinetum (white pine sawfly). RNAcentral describes it as "uncharacterized LOC124211513". The record is from RNAcentral. Lineage: Eukaryota; Metazoa; Arthropoda; Insecta; Hymenoptera; Diprionidae.